CCUGUGCCACACUCCCGGUCAUGAGAAGCUGCGGAGGAGGUCCUUCUGCCCGGGUCAGCACUCGCGCAGUUACCAGCAACGCCCCCGAGCUCCCCAAGCGCAGGCAGGAGGGCCUGGAACGCGUUCAGAGAGGUGAGCUGUGCGCGCACGCCAGCUGGCACGUCCUCGAUCAGCCGCGGCGCCGUGAGGAGGUACGCCGCGAUACCGCG
RNAcentral lists this long non-coding RNA (209 nucleotides) under Coccomyxa subellipsoidea. Its description in RNAcentral is "long non-coding RNA (CSUB_LNC000406)". Lineage: Eukaryota; Viridiplantae; Chlorophyta; Trebouxiophyceae; Coccomyxaceae. The record is from RNAcentral.